ACUGCUGGACUCAAGGGAUCCUCCUGCCUCAGCAUCCUGAGUAGCUGGGUCUACAGGCAUGAACCACCAGGCCCAGAACCCUGUCUUUUGAAAGCCAUAUGCGAUCUGUCUGCCCUGAAGUGACUACUUCAUCUCCAACCAGCCCUUGGCUGGCAAAGUCAGGAAGACUCCAGUCUUUCCUGAAGACCAGGGGAGAGUUUAUAACUCUAGCAUCAAAGUCAGCAGCUGUUCAUCUAGAAGACAACUUCCCAAAAGUCAAUGUCUUUGCCUGAAGCUUUUCUUCCCAGAUCUCCUAUGGUGAAACAACCAAAGGGAAGAAGAAUGUGGGCAGCCCUCAGUAAGACAGGAGAUGAGCAUCAACAUUGACCCAUUCUUUCUUCCAGUCCUCGAUGCUUACCUUGUACAUUCUUCUUUGUCUUCCGACUCAGUGCCUUUAGGGUAUGGACGUUGCCUGGUCCCACACAAGCCAAGCAUCAAAUGGAUGGCUCAACAAGGAGGCCAAGACCAGCUAAUGUUUAGUGAGCACCCAAAGGGGCCACACUGGAGAGAACAGCACAGCUCCGUCUGAGAAACAGCUGUUCCUUCCUGCCUGAGAGGCAGAGUGAUAGAAGAUAUCACAGAAUGUUGCUGCUUUGUCUUCCACCCUGAACCCUCCACGACCUCCCUGUAGCUUCCUGAUUUUAAGUAGACAUCAAAUGAUUCUUAAUCCUUUCUGGGUCUUGGAACGAUUUGAAAAUUGUCAACAGUACUGGGAUUCCCAGAAUAAUGCACAUAUGUACAUACUCAGAUAUUCCCCAAGCCCUGGAUAUAAUUUUAAGGGAGUUCACAGACCACACUCCCCCACCCAUCUGUGGACCCAGAUUCUGUGGGUUCGAGAUUCAGAAGCCCUGUUUCUAGGCAGGCCCUCUGUUGCUAACGCCCCUCGAGAACAUCACCCUAGAUGAUUAUCCCUUCUUCCUCCACUCCUUCCCACCUUCUCCAACUGCUGGGUUUCAGCACAAAGAUUGCUUGCCAGUUAAACUGGCACCAUGGACCGCACAGUAGUUGUUUCUUGGGUCUAGAGGAAACAGCCAGAUUCCUUUAAGUAAAUCAUGUCUUAGUUA
RNAcentral lists this long non-coding RNA (1103 nucleotides) under Homo sapiens (human). RNAcentral describes it as "HSALNT0377612". The record is from RNAcentral. Lineage: Eukaryota; Metazoa; Chordata; Mammalia; Primates; Hominidae.